Teleopsis dalmanni is the source of this 1416-nucleotide long non-coding RNA. RefSeq lists it as uncharacterized. Lineage: Eukaryota; Metazoa; Arthropoda; Insecta; Diptera; Diopsidae. The record is from RefSeq and is a predicted model, not a curated record. The transcript is spliced from 4 exons.
UUGUUAAAUGUUUUUGUUCUUGAAAAUGAAGCAAAAUUAAGUUUAUUCGAUAUAUUUUGUGUAUUAAUCAACAAGACCUAAAUGGAUAGCUGUUAGCAAUCCUAAAUGAAGAUUUUUUGACAGCCGGUUUAUUUGCUUCAAAGAAGAUAUUCUCUGAUUUGCUUGUUGCGCCUAUGCAAUAAGAGAGUAUCAGUAAAUUGCAGUGCGUAUGCUGGUUCAUAAGUCAUUUUGUAAACAUUGUUGUUUAUUUAUAAAUUUUAAUAAUAAUAAUUAUAAUAAACUAUUGAUGUUGUGAAACUAAAAGUUUUGGUGUUAUGUUCUUUAAUUUUCAUUAAAAUAAAUUAAACGAAAAUUGUCUUCACGCAAUGUCAGAAACAAAUAUAAAAAAUGAUUUGAUAGUUGCUCUAACGGAACACCUGUCGAUUAGGACACGAAGCCUGCAUAAAAUGUUGAAAUAUAAAAUAAUUUAGACAAAUAAAAACAAAAUAGUGUCUCACUAAACUACGCUAAAUCAAGUUUGGAAAUUGCAAAACAGAAUUGAGAACGUGUUUUUGUAUGUGACUCCGUUGGACCUCAAAUGCAUAAGUAUAAAGCACGCAAUAAAAAUGGGGACACUAAUCAAAACAGUUUGUCUCAAGUCAAAGGCAUUGAUAUUUCAAUGAUGGAAUGCGAUUUUGAAUUUUAUUAUUGUUUCCUUACAAUUGUUGCAUUCGUCACCGUUUCAGCACUGAAGAAUCAAAAUUUACAAUAACCCAGGAAUUCCCCAAAAACACAAAUAAAGUAUUUUUGGAAAGACUAUGCCAAUAUUCGAUGUCAGGACAUUUCACAUGUCGAACUGCUGAAUAAUGAAACAUUGAAGAUUUGUUAAUUAAAGAUGAUUCCUGGUGAAAAUUGACGAUUAAAAUGAUUACACUUAAAUUACUGCAAAUAUAACCAGAUUGUAGUUAUAAUUUAAAUAUUAAAGACGAAGAUGACGGUUGUGAAUAACUUCAUGCUAAUUAUCAGUAGCAAGUUAAUGUGUAGCAUAUGCUAUUAACUUGUAUUUUAUACUUAUUAAAAAUAAUGUAUCUCUGCAGACAAGCUGCUCUAUAUUGUUAUCAUGUGGUGAUGCUUUAAAGCAAUGUGUAACUUUGAUAUACAUUAUGAAAUCAUACUAUGAUCAAAAAACAAAUACUGAAUUUAGUACUACGAAUUUAUUUCUCCAUAAGUCUCAUCUGCCGUAAUAUUUAAACAUCCCAGUCUUAAAGAAUGUUUAUAUGUAUUCCUGUUUAAAAAAUAUUGUUAUUUACUCACCAAGUAAGAGAUAAGACACAUUAGUUUAUUGGAAUAAUUAUUAAACUCAGCAUAAAAAAUGAUUGAAUGCAACAACAACAUGAUCUUCAAAAAACAAAAACUUAAGCAAGUCAUCAAAGCUAA